UUUUUGACCACACAGAAGCAGUUUUAAAUGAGUUAUGUCUCAACUCUGACUAUUCUACAUUGGGUUAUAUUUAGGAAAAAUGUUCUCCUGAUACUCAUUUUGAAAAAGUAUCUUCUUCGAGAUUUUAUCCCUCCUCAGAGAGAUUUAUAUGCGCUUGGCCUUCGUGACUGAGAUUCCCUGGAAUGAAUGGGAAGCCGCGGUGGGGCAUGGAACAAAGAUCUUCUUAUUGCAAGCUCAGUGGAUCUCCAACAAUGUUAUUAAUGAAUCACCAGGUCCUUCUGGGAGAACAAAAGUACAAGUAGACAAAUUAGAUACAGAAAACAAGGGCUGACCCUGGAGCUUGGAGAGAGCAGCGAACGAAGUGUCUCACACGGAGAACAUGCAAAGACACUGAAGGCAGCUUGGCUGGCGGAGGGAAGAGGGGAAUGUUAACCGUGAACG
This 441-nucleotide long non-coding RNA is filed under the name Felis catus (domestic cat). Its description in RNAcentral is "lncRNA (ENSFCAG00000047681.1)". Lineage: Eukaryota; Metazoa; Chordata; Mammalia; Carnivora; Felidae. The record is from RNAcentral.